This 1490-nucleotide ribosomal RNA is filed under the name Salmonella enterica subsp. enterica serovar Kentucky. Its description in RNAcentral is "bacterial SSU rRNA". It matches the Rfam family "Bacterial small subunit ribosomal RNA". Lineage: Bacteria; Pseudomonadati; Pseudomonadota; Gammaproteobacteria; Enterobacterales; Enterobacteriaceae. The record is from RNAcentral.
AACGGUAACAGGAAGCAGCUUGCUGCUUUGCUGACGAGUGGCGGACGGGUGAGUAAUGUCUGGGAAACUGCCUGAUGGAGGGGGAUAACUACUGGAAACGGUGGCUAAUACCGCAUAACGUCGCAAGACCAAAGAGGGGGACCUUCGGGCCUCUUGCCAUCAGAUGUGCCCAGAUGGGAUUAGCUUGUUGGUGAGGUAACGGCUCACCAAGGCGACGAUCCCUAGCUGGUCUGAGAGGAUGACCAGCCACACUGGAACUGAGACACGGUCCAGACUCCUACGGGAGGCAGCAGUGGGGAAUAUUGCACAAUGGGCGCAAGCCUGAUGCAGCCAUGCCGCGUGUAUGAAGAAGGCCUUCGGGUUGUAAAGUACUUUCAGCGGGGAGGAAGGUGUUGUGGUUAAUAACCGCAGCAAUUGACGUUACCCGCAGAAGAAGCACCGGCUAACUCCGUGCCAGCAGCCGCGGUAAUACGGAGGGUGCAAGCGUUAAUCGGAAUUACUGGGCGUAAAGCGCACGCAGGCGGUCUGUCAAGUCGGAUGUGAAAUCCCCGGGCUCAACCUGGGAACUGCAUUCGAAACUGGCAGGCUUGAGUCUUGUAGAGGGGGGUAGAAUUCCAGGUGUAGCGGUGAAAUGCGUAGAGAUCUGGAGGAAUACCGGUGGCGAAGGCGGCCCCCUGGACAAAGACUGACGCUCAGGUGCGAAAGCGUGGGGAGCAAACAGGAUUAGAUACCCUGGUAGUCCACGCCGUAAACGAUGUCUACUUGGAGGUUGUGCCCUUGAGGCGUGGCUUCCGGAGCUAACGCGUUAAGUAGACCGCCUGGGGAGUACGGCCGCAAGGUUAAAACUCAAAUGAAUUGACGGGGGCCCGCACAAGCGGUGGAGCAUGUGGUUUAAUUCGAUGCAACGCGAAGAACCUUACCUGGUCUUGACAUCCACAGAACUUUCCAGAGAUGGACUGGUGCCUUCGGGAACUGUGAGACAGGUGCUGCAUGGCUGUCGUCAGCUCGUGUUGUGAAAUGUUGGGUUAAGUCCCGCAACGAGCGCAACCCUUAUCCUUUGUUGCCAGCGGUUAGGCCGGGAACUCAAAGGAGACUGCCAGUGAUAAACUGGAGGAAGGUGGGGAUGACGUCAAGUCAUCAUGGCCCUUACGACCAGGGCUACACACGUGCUACAAUGGCGCAUACAAAGAGAAGCGACCUCGCGAGAGCAAGCGGACCUCAUAAAGUGCGUCGUAGUCCGGAUUGGAGUCUGCAACUCGACUCCAUGAAGUCGGAAUCGCUAGUAAUCGUGGAUCAGAAUGCCACGGUGAAUACGUUCCCGGGCCUUGUACACACCGCCCGUCACACCAUGGGAGUGGGUUGCAAAAGAAGUAGGUAGCUUAACCUUCGGGAGGGCGCUUACCACUUUGUGAUUCAUGACUGGGGUGAAGUCGUAACAAGGUAACCGUAGGGGAACCUGCGGUUGGAUCACCUCCUUACCUUAAAGAAGC